UUUGAGAAACAUUAACAAAGGAAAAGUGAUGACACUUGGUGACCACUUGGACAUGGAGGAGGGCCCGUGACUUCUAGAUUUCUGUUUCAGGACAGUGAAGGCAGUGGUGGCUCCUGCUGCAGAGAAGCUAACUGACUCCAGCAGCUUCCUCCAUGGAGCCAUAUGUGUCUACCUCCUUCUAGGUGCUAGCCCUGCAGCUGAUAAAGAGCACCCCAGCUCCGAGAACACCGCCCGACCCAGGGAUGUGAACCUGUGCCUCAGUCGGUCCACUCAGCAACAUCUACCAGGCCUGCAUGCUCCUCAUGAACCCAGGAGGAGAGGAGGUCAAGGCCGUGCUGGUCUAUGCUCAUGGUCACUCAGCAAGGACACGAGGGGACCAGGUUCAAACCUAGGCCGUGCAUUCGCUCCUCAGGCUCUUCAUGCUGUUUGAGGUGGGUAUGCUUGGCACCCGGAAGUAUAUUUGAAAUUUGUUGAGGACAAAGGUUAUCCCUUUUAGUUGUUUAGUAAUAACAUCAUUUCAUCCACUUGGAUCAGCCCCAGCCGGGGGCCGUGAUGUCCCACUUGCUAUGCUGCACAGGUAUCUGUUCUGGUGCCUGGACUGACCCCGACAGUGCUGCCUGCCCUGACUCUCUGGGCGCCUUGAGAGGAGGAGACCAGCUCUGCCCUCUUGGUGCCUGGAGCCUGGCUGAAGGUGGACGAGCUGCUGCAGCUGCUCCGAGGGUCUGCUGGGGUCACAGAGCCAUUCGAUGGACCUCAUCUCAUUUAGCCCCCACAAUGGCUCCAAGAAGCAAGCAGGGGAGGUGUUUUUAUUGCCACUUCACAGAUUGGAAAAUUGAGACCCAAGGCAGCUGCUAAGAAGGCUAGAACUGGGACUUGAACUUGGGUCUGUCAGACCCUGAGACUCAUGUGAAUGGUUUCCCCUAAGGUCUAGCAUAGCGCUUCCUGCAGUGGAUGCUGAAUAAAAAAUUUUCCUCCUUCUUCAGGCUAUGAUUACCAUGUCCUGUAUCUAGAGUGAACAAAUGCAUCUUUAAAAAAGGGCAAUAUUUGAUUUUGAUUCCAAAAGCAAUAGGUACUCACUUGAAAAAUCUGGAAAACACAGUAAUGUGCAAUGCUGUUAUGUAUAAAGAAGACAAUAAAA
This is a non-coding RNA of Manis javanica (Malayan pangolin), 1138 nucleotides long. Lineage: Eukaryota; Metazoa; Chordata; Mammalia; Pholidota; Manidae. The record is from RefSeq and is a predicted model, not a curated record.